UGGUACGUGCUGGACUUUUCUUUGGCGUG
This 29-nucleotide small RNA is filed under the name Bombyx mori (domestic silkworm). RNAcentral's name for it is "ovarian small RNA-35087". Lineage: Eukaryota; Metazoa; Arthropoda; Insecta; Lepidoptera; Bombycidae. The record is from RNAcentral.